UUAAAUAAAAAUCGGUGUUGUUGCUGCCUUUCGUGGUGACGCGUCGGAAUUGGGUCGUCUUAUCUUCGUCUAAGUGACUUAAAAUUUUAUAUGAUUUUCGAACGUAUUUAAAUUGCUUACGUACGUUUGAGACAUCGAAUAUUUUAUUAGGUUCGGUCAUCCCUAUGACUCGCGCCUAUAAUUUUUUCAUU
RNAcentral lists this unclassified non-coding RNA (191 nucleotides) under uncultured Glomeraceae. RNAcentral describes it as "sequence contains ITS2". The record is from RNAcentral. Lineage: Eukaryota; Fungi; Glomeromycota; Glomeromycetes; Glomerales; Glomeraceae.